Molecule: ribosomal RNA, 497 nt
Filed under: uncultured bacterium
Lineage: Bacteria
Description: partial 16S ribosomal RNA
Rfam family: Bacterial small subunit ribosomal RNA
Source: RNAcentral
GACGAACGCUGGCGGCGUGCCUAAUACAUGCAAGUUGAGCGCUGAAGGUUGGUACUUGUACCAACUGGAUGAGCAGCGAACGGGUGAGUAACGCGUGGGGAAUCUGCCUUUGAGCGGGGGACAACAUUUGGAAACGAAUGCUAAUACCGCAUAAAAACUUUAAACACAAGUUUUAAGUUUGAAAGAUGCAAUUGCAUCACUCAAAGAUGAUCCCGCGUUGUAUUAGCUAGUUGGUGAGGUAAAGGCUCACCAAGGCGAUGAUACAUAGCCGACCUGAGAGGGUGAUCGGCCACAUUGGGACUGAGACACGGCCCAAACUCCUACGGAAGGCAGCAGUAGGGAAUCUUCGGCAAUGGACGAAAGUCUGACCGAGCAACGCCGCGUGAGUGAAGAAGGGUUUCGGAUCGUAAAACUCUGUUGGUAGAGAAGAACGUUGGUGAGAGUGGAAAGCUCAUCAAGUGACGGUAACUACCCAGAAAGGGACGGCUAACUACGUA